RNAcentral lists this ribosomal RNA (472 nucleotides) under uncultured bacterium. RNAcentral describes it as "bacterial SSU rRNA". It matches the Rfam family "Bacterial small subunit ribosomal RNA", at positions 355 to 825 of the family's 1533-position model. The record is from RNAcentral.
UGGGGAAUCUUGGACAAUGGGCGAAAGCCUGAUCCAGCCAUGCCGCGUGUGUGAAGAAGGUCUUCGGAUUGUAAAGCACUUUAAGUUGGGAGGAAGGGCAGUAACCUAAUACGUUGCUGUCUUGACGUUACCGACAGAAUAAGCACCGGCUAACUCUGUGCCAGCAGCCGCGGUAAUACAGAGGGUGCAAGCGUUAAUCGGAAUUACUGGGCGUAAAGCGCGCGUAGGUGGUUUGUUAAGUUGGAUGUGAAAUCCCCGGGCUCAACCUGGGAACUGCAUUCAAAACUGACAAGCUAGAGUAUGGUAGAGGGUGGUGGAAUUUCCUGUGUAGCGGUGAAAUGCGUAGAUAUAGGAAGGAACACCAGUGGCGAAGGCGACCACCUGGACUGAUACUGACACUGAGGUGCGAAAGCGUGGGGAGCAAACAGGAUUAGAUACCCUAGUAGUCCCUGAGCGGGCUGGCAAGGCGCAU